UACGGGGGGAGCAAGCGUUGUUCGGAUUUACUGGGCGUAAAGGGCGUGUAGGCGGCCACCGCAAGUCGACUGUGAAACCUCCGGGCUUAACUCGGAAAGGUCAGCCGAUACUGCGGGGCUAGAGCGCAGAAGGGGCAACUGGAAUUCUCGGUGUAGCGGUGAAAUGCGUAGAUAUCGAGAGGAACACCUGCGGCGAAGGCGGGUUGCUGGGCUGACACUGACGCUGAAACGCGAAAGCUAGGGGAGCGAACGGG
This 254-nucleotide ribosomal RNA is filed under the name uncultured bacterium. RNAcentral describes it as "partial 16S ribosomal RNA". It matches the Rfam family "Bacterial small subunit ribosomal RNA", at positions 524 to 776 of the family's 1533-position model. The record is from RNAcentral.